UGGCGGACGGGUGAGUAACGCGUGGAUAACCUGCCGUAUACCGGGGGAUAACACUUAGAAAUAGGUGCUAAUACCGCAUAAGCGCACGGCUCCGCAUGGGGCAGUGUGAAAAACUCCGGUGGUAUACGAUGGAUCCGCGUCUGAUUAGCUAGUUGGCGGGGUAACGGCCCACCAAGGCAGCGAUCAGUAGCCGGCCUGAGAGGGUGGACGGCCACAUUGGGACUGAGACACGGCCCAAACUCCUACGGAAGGCAGCAG
Molecule: ribosomal RNA, 258 nt
Filed under: uncultured bacterium
Lineage: Bacteria
Description: partial 16S ribosomal RNA
Rfam family: Bacterial small subunit ribosomal RNA
Source: RNAcentral